AUUUAAAUAAUUUAAUAAAAAUUUUGAUUUGUGGGAUCAAAUUUAUAUAAUUCAUUCUAUAUUUUAAAUA
RNAcentral lists this transfer RNA (70 nucleotides) under Monomachus antipodalis. RNAcentral describes it as "tRNA-His". The record is from RNAcentral. Lineage: Eukaryota; Metazoa; Arthropoda; Insecta; Hymenoptera; Monomachidae.